GAUGAACGCUGGCGGCGUGCCUAAUACAUGCAAGUCGAGCGAACAGACGAGGAGCUUGCUCCUCUGACGUUAGCGGCGGACGGGUGAGUAACACGUGGAUAACCUACCUAUAAGACUGGGAUAACUUCGGGAAACCGGAGCUAAUACCGGAUAAUAUAUUGAACCGCAUGGUUCAAUAGUGAAAGACGGUUUUGCUGUCACUUAUAGAUGGAUCCGCGCCGCAUUAGCUAGUUGGUAAGGUAACGGCUUACCAAGGCAACGAUGCGUAGCCGACCUGAGAGGGUGAUCGGCCACACUGGAACUGAGACAAGGUCCCGACUCCUAAGGGAGGCAGCAGUAGGGAAUCUUCCGCAAUGGGCGAAAGCUUGAAGGAGCAACGCCGCGUGAGUGAUGAAGGUCUUCGGAUCGGAAAACUCUGUUAUUAGGGAAGAACAAAUGUGUAAGUAACUAUGCACGUCUUGACGGUACCUAAUCAGAAAGCCACGGCUAACUACGUG
This 497-nucleotide ribosomal RNA is filed under the name uncultured bacterium. RNAcentral's name for it is "partial 16S ribosomal RNA". It matches the Rfam family "Bacterial small subunit ribosomal RNA", at positions 28 to 507 of the family's 1533-position model. The record is from RNAcentral.